UUAAAUUGAAGAGUUUGAUCAUGGCUCAGAUUGAACGCUGGCGGCAGGCCUAACACAUGCAAGUCGAACGGUAACAGGAAGCAGCUUGCUGCUUUGCUGACGAGUGGCGGACGGGUGAGUAAUGUCUGGGAAACUGCCUGAUGGAGGGGGAUAACUACUGGAAACGGUAGCUAAUACCGCAUAACGUCGCAAGACCAAAGAGGGGGACCUUAGGGCCUCUUGCCAUCGGAUGUGCCCAGAUGGGAUUAGCUGGUAGGUGGGGUAACGGCUCACCUAGGCGACGAUCCCUAGCUGGUCUGAGAGGAUGACCAGCCACACUGGAACUGAGACACGGUCCAGACUCCUACGGGAGGCAGCAGUGGGGAAUAUUGCACAAUGGGCGCAAGCCUGAUGCAGCCAUGCCGCGUGUAUGAAGAAGGCCUUCGGGUUGUAAAGUACUUUCAGCGGGGAGGAAGGGAGUAAAGUUAAUACCUUUGCUCAUUGACGUUACCCGCAGAAGAAGCACCGGCUAACUCCGUGCCAGCAGCCGCGGUAAUACGGAGGGUGCAAGCGUUAAUCGGAAUUACUGGGCGUAAAGCGCACGCAGGCGGUUUGUUAAGUCAGAUGUGAAAUCCCCGGGCUCAACCUGGGAACUGCAUCUGAUACUGGCAAGCUUGAGUCUCGUAGAGGGGGGUAGAAUUCCAGGUGUAGCGGUGAAAUGCGUAGAGAUCUGGAGGAAUACCGGUGGCGAAGGCGGCCCCCUGGACGAAGACUGACGCUCAGGUGCGAAAGCGUGGGGAGCAAACAGGAUUAGAUACCCUGGUAGUCCACGCCGUAAACGAUGUCGACUUGGAGGUUGUGCCCUUGAGGCGUGGCUUCCGGAGCUAACGCGUUAAGUCGACCGCCUGGGGAGUACGGCCGCAAGGUUAAAACUCAAAUGAAUUGACGGGGGCCCGCACAAGCGGUGGAGCAUGUGGUUUAAUUCGAUGCAACGCGAAGAACCUUACCUGGUCUUGACAUCCACGGAAGUUUUCAGAGAUGAGAAUGUGCCUUCGGGAACCGUGAGACAGGUGCUGCAUGGCUGUCGUCAGCUCGUGUUGUGAAAUGUUGGGUUAAGUCCCGCAACGAGCGCAACCCUUAUCCUUUGUUGCCAGCGGUCCGGCCGGGAACUCAAAGGAGACUGCCAGUGAUAAACUGGAGGAAGGUGGGGAUGACGUCAAGUCAUCAUGGCCCUUACGACCAGGGCUACACACGUGCUACAAUGGCGCAUACAAAGAGAAGCGACCUCGCGAGAGCAAGCGGACCUCAUAAAGUGCGUCGUAGUCCGGAUUGGAGUCUGCAACUCGACUCCAUGAAGUCGGAAUCGCUAGUAAUCGUGGAUCAGAAUGCCACGGUGAAUACGUUCCCGGGCCUUGUACACACCGCCCGUCACACCAUGGGAGUGGGUUGCAAAAGAAGUAGGUAGCUUAACCUUCGGGAGGGCGCUUACCACUUUGUGAUUCAUGACUGGGGUGAAGUCGUAACAAGGUAACCGUAGGGGAACCUGCGGUUGGAUCACCUCCUUACCUUAAAGAAGC
RNAcentral lists this ribosomal RNA (1556 nucleotides) under Escherichia coli. RNAcentral describes it as "bacterial SSU rRNA". It matches the Rfam family "Bacterial small subunit ribosomal RNA". Lineage: Bacteria; Pseudomonadati; Pseudomonadota; Gammaproteobacteria; Enterobacterales; Enterobacteriaceae. The record is from RNAcentral.